This 473-nucleotide ribosomal RNA is filed under the name uncultured bacterium. RNAcentral describes it as "bacterial SSU rRNA". It matches the Rfam family "Bacterial small subunit ribosomal RNA", at positions 335 to 800 of the family's 1533-position model. The record is from RNAcentral.
ACUCCUACGGGAGGCAGCAGUGGGGAAUAUUGCACAAUGGGCGCAAGCCUGAUGCAGCCAUGCCGCGUGUAUGAAGAAGGCCUUCGGGUUGUAAAGUACUUUCAGCAGUGAGGAAGGUGGGUAUGUUAAUAGCAUACUCAUUUGACGUUAGCUGCAGAAGAAGCACCGGCUAACUCCGUGCCAGCAGCCGCGGUAAUACGGAGGGUGCGAGCGUUAAUCGGAAUUACUGGGCGUAAAGCGCAUGCAGGUGGUUUGUUAAGUCAGAUGUGAAAGCCCGGGGCUCAACCUCGGAAUUGCAUUUGAAACUGGCAAACUAGAGUACUGUAGAGGGGGGUAGAAUUUCAGGUGUAGCGGUGAAAUGCGUAGAGAUCUGAAGGAAUACCGGUGGCGAAGGCGGCCCCCUGGACAGAUACUGACACUCAGAUGCGAAAGCGUGGGGAGCAAACAGGAUUAGAUACCCUGGUAGGCACAGC